CGUUUAGAACAAUCAAACAGUAAACUUUCCAAAGCUUAUUGGGAAAUAUGUAUAACGGGAAGUAUUCAUAAUGAACAAAAUAUGUUUGAUACAGGAUUUGUUCUGUAUCUUAGAAGAAACAUUGUUAAAUCUAUUUGUUAUUUGAAUGUGUUCAAGUUUCCAAAGAUGUUUCAGAGAGUUGGUAUCCUGUCACUCUUGAAUUAGUUAGCAUUCAUACUGCUGAAAGACAUAAUUUGAAUUUGAUUGUUGAUCCAUUUUAUGAUGCUGCCAGUAACAUUAUUCAGUUUGCUAAGACUUGUGAGUUUGUGAAACCUAUUGAUAUUGAUUCGAAAAGAAAUGAUAUAGCCUGUCAUAAUGCAAUCAUAUAGUGAUGCUGAUUGAAUUAAAUUUUUGAUAACAUGGCAAUAUGCUCAACUUAAGGUAUAACUGUUUAAUGGUAUAGCACAGUGAACCCUAUGGACUCGGCGAUGAAGAAACUGGCAUGUCGCACGUAUAUGAUGGUUUCGGAUUAGAAUAACUGGUUAAAAUAUUAUGUUUAAUACUUAAGAAUUUUCUGUAUAUUUAGGGCUGUAUUCAUAGUCUAUGUAGUCUAGGUACAGUCGAUUCUGGUUUAGGAACAGUCGAUUCCAGUCACAGUUAAUAAGAAUAACCGCUUAAUAGGGACAAUUCUUCAAUUACAAAAACAAAUGUAUACUUGUAGGGUAAACGUCCACCGCUCAUCUGGACAACGAAUCCAGAUAGUUAGGGCAUUUUUAUUGAGUAUAUUAAUUGAUAGAUCAAUAGUUUUACAAUUGUAACCGACUCACAUUAUCGAUUAUUAGAUUAAAUUUUAUCUUAUUGUAUGUUUAACCCAUUAACGCCGUGCGUUGCCAUAUGGAAACAUAGAUUUUUUACAUUAAUUUUUAAGAUAUAACAUAUUAUGUUUUCAA
Acyrthosiphon pisum (pea aphid) is the source of this 929-nucleotide long non-coding RNA. RefSeq lists it as uncharacterized. The transcript has 4 exons. The record is from RefSeq and is a predicted model, not a curated record. Lineage: Eukaryota; Metazoa; Arthropoda; Insecta; Hemiptera; Aphididae.